ACGCCCGUUAGUGGGGAGUAGUCGGCUUGCGCCUCCCCGGCGCAAGAACCUGUGUCAACAUAAUCGGUCCACAGACCGUGGUGCAGGUGGCUUUAAACAGCUUGACGAGACCAUGAUCGAUGCGCGGCCUUGCAGGGCCGGAGCCGCGCUUUGAUCAUUGGUUAAUCGUU
Molecule: small RNA, 170 nt
Filed under: Duganella sacchari
Lineage: Bacteria; Pseudomonadati; Pseudomonadota; Betaproteobacteria; Burkholderiales; Oxalobacteraceae
Description: Manganese sequence
Rfam family: Manganese Mn2+ riboswitch aptamer (yybP-ykoY)
About the family: This RNA was originally discovered in E. coli during a large scale screen and was named SraF.
Source: RNAcentral